RNAcentral lists this ribosomal RNA (311 nucleotides) under Amanita sp. 'farinosa sensu Thiers'. Its description in RNAcentral is "partial 28S ribosomal RNA". It matches the Rfam family "Eukaryotic large subunit ribosomal RNA", at positions 1 to 303 of the family's 3401-position model. The record is from RNAcentral. Lineage: Eukaryota; Fungi; Basidiomycota; Agaricomycetes; Agaricales; Amanitaceae.
UUGACCUCAAAUCAGGUAGGACUACCCGCUGAACUUAAGCAUAUCAAUAAGCGGAGGAAAAGAAACUAACAAGGAUUCCCUUAGUAACUGCGAGUGAAGAGGGAAGAGCUCAAAUUUGAAAUCUGGUAGUGUUCUACUGCCCGAAUUGUAAUCUAGAGAAGUGUAUCCCGUGCUGGACCAUGUACAAGUCUCCUGGAAUGGAGCAUCAUAGAGGGUGAGAAUCCUGUCUUUGACAUGGACUACCAGUGCAAUUGUGGUGUGCUCUCAAAGAGUCGAGUUGUUUGGGAAUGCAGCUCUAAAUGGGUGGUAAA